AUUGAACGCUGGCGGCAGGCCUAACACAUGCAAGUCGAACGGUAACAGGAAGACGCUUGCUUCUUUGCUGACGAGUGGCGGACGGGUGAGUAAUGUCUGGGAAACUGCCUGAUGGAGGGGGAUAACUACUGGAAACGGUAGCUAAUACCGCAUAACGUCGCAAGACCAAAGAGGGGGACCUUCGGGCCUCUUGCCAUCGGAUGUGCCCAGAUGGGAUUAGCUAGUAGGUGGGGUAACGGCUCACCUAGGCGACGAUCCCUAGCUGGUCUGAGAGGAUGACCGGCCACACGGAACCUGGGACACGUCCAGACUCCUACGGGAGGCAGCAGUGGGGAAUAUUGCACAAUGGGCGCAAGCCUGAUGCAGCCAUGCCGCGUGUAUGAAGAAGGCCUUCGGGUUGUAAAGUACUUUCAGCGGGGAGGAAGGGAGUAAAGUUAAUACCUUUACUCAUUGACGUUACCCGCAGAAGAAGCACCGGCUAACUCCGUG
This 489-nucleotide ribosomal RNA is filed under the name uncultured bacterium. RNAcentral describes it as "partial 16S ribosomal RNA". It matches the Rfam family "Bacterial small subunit ribosomal RNA", at positions 30 to 507 of the family's 1533-position model. The record is from RNAcentral.